UACGUAGGGUGCGAGCGUUAAUCGGAAUUACUGGGCGUAAAGCGUGCGCAGGCGGUUUUGUAAGCCAGGUGUGAAAUCCCCGGGCUCAACCUGGGAAUGGCAUUUGGGACUGCAAGGCUGGAGUGCGGCAGAGGAGACUGGAAUUCCUGGUGUAGCAGUGAAAUGCGUAGAUAUCAGGAGGAACACCGAUGGCGAAGGCAGGUCUCUGGGCUGACACUGACGCUCAUGCACGAAAGCGUGGGGAGCGAACAAGG
Molecule: ribosomal RNA, 254 nt
Filed under: uncultured bacterium
Lineage: Bacteria
Description: partial 16S ribosomal RNA
Rfam family: Bacterial small subunit ribosomal RNA
Source: RNAcentral